CGGGUGAGUAAUGCUUGGGAAUCUAGCUUAUGGAGGGGGAUAACUACGGGAAACUGUAGCUAAUACCGCGUAGUAUCGAGAGAUGAAAGUGUGGGACCUUCGGGCCACAUGCCAUAGGAUGAGCCCAAGUGGGAUUAGGUAGUUGGUGAGGUAAAGGCUCACCAAGCCGACGAUCUCUAGCUGGUCUGAGAGGAUGACCAGCCACACUGGGACUGAGACACGGCCCAA
This 228-nucleotide ribosomal RNA is filed under the name uncultured bacterium. RNAcentral describes it as "partial 16S ribosomal RNA". It matches the Rfam family "Bacterial small subunit ribosomal RNA", at positions 103 to 334 of the family's 1533-position model. The record is from RNAcentral.